GAAACGACUGCUAAGACUGGAUAGGAGAUAAGAAGGCAUCUUUUUAUUUUUAAAAGACCUAGCAAUAGGUAUGCUUAGGGAAGAGCUUGCGUCACAUUAGUUAGUUGGUGGGGUAAUGGCCUACCAAGACGAUGAUGUGUAGCCGGGCUGAGAGGUCGAACGGCCACAUUGGGACUGAGACACGGCCCAAACUCCUACGGGAGGCAGCAGUAAGGAAUUUUCGGCAAUGGAGGAAACUCUGACCGAGCAAUGCCGCGUGAACGAUGAAGUAUUUCGGUACGUAAAGUUCUUUUAUUAGGGAAGAAAAGAUGGUGGAAAAACCAUUAUGACGGUACCUAAUGAAUAAGCCCCGGCUAACUAUGUGCCAGCAGCCGCGGUAAUACAUAGGGGGCAAGCGUUAUCCGGAAUUAUUGGGCGUAAAGGGUGCGUAGGCGGUUAAAUAAGUUUAUGGUCUAAGUGCAACGCUCAACGUUGUGAUGCUAUAAAAACUGUUUAGCUAGAGUUGGAUAGAGGCAAGUGGAAUUCCGUGUGUAGUGGUAAAAUGCGUAAAUAUACGGAGGAACACCAGAAGCGAAGGCGGCUUGCUGGGUCUUAACUGACGCUGAGGCACGAAAGCGUGGGGAGCAAACAGGAUUAGAUACCCUGGUAGUCCACGCCCUAAACGAUGAGUACUAAACGUUGGAUAAAACCAGUGUUGAAGUUAACACAUUAAGUACUCCGCCUGAGUAGUACGUACGCAAGUAUGAAACUUAAAGGAAUUGACGGGACUCCGCACAAGCGGUGGAUCAUGUUGUUUAAUUCGAAGGUACCCGAAAAACCUCACCAGGUCUUGACAUGCUUUUGCAAAGCUGUAGAAAUACAGUGGAGGUUAUCAGAAGCACAGGUGGUGCAUGGUUGUCGUCAGCUCGUGUCGUGAGAUGUUGGGUUAAGUCCCGCAACGAGCGCAACCCUUGUUGUUAAUUGCCAUCAUUAAGUUGGGGACUUUAGCAAGACUGCCAAUGAUAAAUUGGAGGAAGGUGGGGACGACGUCAAAUCAUCAUGCCCCUUAUGACCUGGGCUACAAACGUGAUACAAUGGCUGUUACAAAGGGUAGCUAAAGCGUAAGCUUCUGGCGAAUCUCAAAAAAGCAGUCUCAGUUCGGAUUGAAGUCUGCAACUCGACUUCAUGAAGUUGGAAUCGCUAGUAAUCGCGAAUCAGCAUGUCGCGGUGAAUACGUUCGCGGGGUUUGUACACACCGCCCGUCA
This 1244-nucleotide ribosomal RNA is filed under the name Phytoplasma sp. BN-Fc13. RNAcentral describes it as "bacterial SSU rRNA". It matches the Rfam family "Bacterial small subunit ribosomal RNA", at positions 153 to 1399 of the family's 1533-position model. Lineage: Bacteria; Bacillati; Mycoplasmatota; Mollicutes; Acholeplasmatales; Acholeplasmataceae. The record is from RNAcentral.